RNAcentral lists this ribosomal RNA (497 nucleotides) under uncultured bacterium. RNAcentral's name for it is "partial 16S ribosomal RNA". It matches the Rfam family "Bacterial small subunit ribosomal RNA", at positions 28 to 507 of the family's 1533-position model. The record is from RNAcentral.
GAUGAACGCUGGCGGCGUGCCUAAUACAUGCAAGUCGAGCGAACAGACGAGGAGCUUGCUCCUUUGACGUUAGCGGCGGACGGGUGAGUAACACGUAGGUAACCUACCUAUAAGACUGGGAUAACUUCGGGAAACCGGAGCUAAUACCGGAUAAUAUUUCGAACCGCAUGGUUCGAUAGUGAAAGAUGGCUUUGCUAUCACUUAUAGAUGGACCUGCGCCGUAUUAGCUAGUUGGUAAGGUAACGGCUUACCAAGGCAGCGAUACGUAGCCGACCUGAGAGGGUGAUCGGCCACACUGGAACUGAGACACGGUCCAGACUCCUACGGGAGGCAGCAGUAGGGAAUCUUCCGCAAUGGGCGAAAGCCUGACGGAGCAACGCCGCGUGAGUGAUGAAGGUCUUCGGAUCGUAAAACUCUGUUAUUAGGGAAGAACAAACGUGUAAGUAACUGUGCACGUCUUGACGGUACCUAAUCAGAAAGCCACGGCUAACUACGUG